GUUCAUAACCCUUUGUUGUCCGACUCUGUUGCCUCCGGGGCGACCCUGCCUUCGGGCGGGGGCUCCGGGUGGACACUUCAAACUCUUGCGUAACUUUGCAGUCUGAGUAAACUUAAUUAAUAAAUUAAAACUUUUAACAACGGAUCUCUUGGUUCUGGCAUCGAUGAAGAACGCAGCGAAAUGCGAUAAGUAAUGUGAAUUGCAGAAUUCAGUGAAUCAUCGAAUCUUUGAACGCACAUUGCGCCCCCUGGUAUUCCGGGGGGCAUGCCUGUUCGAGCGUCAUUUCACCACUCAAGCCUCGCUUGGUAUUGGGCAUCGCGGUCCGCCGCGUGCCUCAAAUCGACCGGCUGGGUCUUCUGUCCCCUAAGCGUUGUGGAAACUAUUCGCUAAAGGGUGUUCGGGAGGCUACGCCGUAAAACAACCCCAUUUCUAAGGUUGACCUCGGAUCAGGUAGGGAUACCCGCUGAACUUAAGCAUAUCAAUAAGCGGAGGA
RNAcentral lists this ribosomal RNA (493 nucleotides) under uncultured fungus. RNAcentral's name for it is "eukaryotic LSU rRNA". The stretch from base 129 to 282 matches the Rfam family "5.8S ribosomal RNA". The record is from RNAcentral. Lineage: Eukaryota; Fungi.